Molecule: non-coding RNA, 414 nt
Organism: Sardina pilchardus (European sardine)
Lineage: Eukaryota; Metazoa; Chordata; Actinopteri; Clupeiformes; Clupeidae
Source: the annotation of a RefSeq genome assembly
AUGUCUUAUUCAGCCAUGUGUCUAUCACAGCUUAUUUUAGUGGCUCUUUGUCUAACAGGUGCAGCUGGUCAGACACUGACUGAAUUAGAGUCAGUAGUUAUUAGACCUGGAGGAUCUCACAAACUGACCUGCACCACAUUCACAUUUAGGAGCUAUCCCAUGAACUGGGUCAGACAAGCUCCAGGGAAAGGCCUGGAGUGGAUUGCUUAUAUUUCCACAGCCAGUAGCCCAAUCUACUACUCCCAGUCAGUCCAGGGGAGAUUCACCUCCAGGGAUGAUUCCAGAAGUGAGCUCUACUUACAGAUGAGCAGCCUGAAGAGUGAAGACACUGCUGUGUAUUACUGCGCUCGGAGGGCACGAUGGAGGAAGGCAGAAGCCAGGCUGUACAAAAACACUUCCCCAUUUAGCACAUGA